UUCCUCUUUGCUCGCCGACGACAUGCCAAGCUCGUCGGAACAAAUUCAUCGCCACCACAGCAGCUCAGCGCAAUAGCUCCCGCUUGUAGCUUUGCCUCGUCCUACCGCGGCUCCUAGACCUGCUUGCGCCGCUCCUCGCUACCGGAAUCGGCCAUGAGCCUCAUGCCAUGGCCGUGUGCUGAGCUUCCGCCAUGGUCGUCCACCUUCGCUGUCGCUUGAUCACAGCCUCCCAGCUUGCUCUACUCAAGAUAACCGCACCGCAACCUUCCUCAGCUCACACUGUGCCUCUUCAGCUCCUCCUCUGAUUGCCACCGCCAUCAGGGCACUACCCGCAGCAGCCGCCGCCGGCACGACCAUCUCUGGUCCAACCGUGAGCGUGGCCACGGAGCCACGGACCACCUCUGGUCAUCUUUUGGCAACAUACAAGUGCACCGGACCAUGAGGAAGCUCCCUCGCCACUCCGUUUCCACAUAUACACAUCCCACCGUCGAAACCACAAGCUCCGACGAGCUUCCUCUGUUUUCAUUUCGCGCCAGGGACUUCGCGUUUGAAUUCGACACAAGGCAAGGGUCUAACUGCGAAGUUCG
RNAcentral lists this long non-coding RNA (587 nucleotides) under Sorghum bicolor (sorghum). RNAcentral describes it as "long non-coding RNA (SBIC_LNC002958)". The record is from RNAcentral. Lineage: Eukaryota; Viridiplantae; Streptophyta; Magnoliopsida; Poales; Poaceae.